GGUCGAAAGGGGAAAUUCAUUCGCGUUUCGACUGUCGAAGUUAAGCGUUUGUGUGACAGAUGACGUUCGCGUUGUAUGCACCUUUCGUUUUUCUAAUUGACGUCGAACGCGUGCACUUUUCCCCUAGUAGGACGUCGCGAUCCGUUGGGUGUCUGUMUAAGACUCGAAGUGGAGCCCAUGAGACAUUUUGUCGCGUGGACCUUUGAUGUUCCGACAGACUCGCUCGACGGUAUACGAAAGGCGUGGGGCCGCUACUUAAUUAGCGUUCGGCCCGUAGCAAGCACGUUCUGUGUUUGACGGCUAUCGGACCUAGUGCCGAUACUGUCCCGGAACGACUGUUGGUUACGGUGUUCUCGAACAGACCUCAU
This 368-nucleotide ribosomal RNA is filed under the name Epitrix abeillei. RNAcentral describes it as "eukaryotic LSU rRNA". Lineage: Eukaryota; Metazoa; Arthropoda; Insecta; Coleoptera; Chrysomelidae. The record is from RNAcentral.